Molecule: ribosomal RNA, 370 nt
Filed under: uncultured organism
Description: bacterial SSU rRNA
Rfam family: Bacterial small subunit ribosomal RNA
Source: RNAcentral
CGUAGGGUGCAAGCGUUAAUCGGAAUUACUGGGCGUAAAGCGUGCGCAGGCGGUGAUGUAAGACAGAUGUGAAAUCCCCGGGCUCAACCUGGGAACUGCAUUUGUGACUGCAUCGCUGGAGUGCGGCAGAGGGGGAUGGAAUUCCGCGUGUAGCAGUGAAAUGCGUAGAUAUGCGGAGGAACACCGAUGGCGAAGGCAAUCCCCUGGGCCUGCACUGACGCUCAUGCACGAAAGCGUGGGGAGCAAACAGGAUUAGAUACCCUGGUAGUCCACGCCCUAAACGAUGUCAACUGGUUGUUGGGUCUUUACUGACUCAGUAACGAAGCUAACGCGUGAAGUUGACCGCCUGGGGAGUACGGCCGCAAGGUUG